Long non-coding RNA from Pan troglodytes (chimpanzee), 5341 nucleotides. NCBI's taxonomy places the organism in Eukaryota, Metazoa, Chordata, Mammalia, Primates, Hominidae. The record is from Ensembl.
GGGACAGCAGAGGGGAGCUUGGGGACUGACAUCCCAAAGGCCUGGUCCCCUCCUUGCUCUCGCAGCCAGUCCUUGCUCUAGGACAGUGACCCAUGUCUGCAGCCCGACCCAGCCCACCCACAGAGCCCGGCGUCCCAGAGCUGCUGGGGUGCACGGUGGUCGGGAGGUGAGUGGCUGGGCAGUCCUCCGCAGGGCUGCUGCCAGGUAUCAGCCUCGGAGGUUUCCCUGAAACAGAGCCAACGCCCCCCCAGACCUGGGCAGACCGCAUGAGCGUAGGGGUCAGGGGACCGGGUCCCCCAGAGGUGUCAGAAAAAUGCUCCCAGGAGGAGGACGCCAGGCUGCUGAGGCCUGUGGCUGACACCAGGGGGCAGGGCGGGGCGGCGGGGACAGCGUCCGGAGGAGGGAGCCGCCCAGACCUAGCCCGGGGGGGCGAACGAAGAGCGGGCGUGGUGGGCGCCUGCUAGCUCCGGCUCGCGGUGUUAGGCCUUGGGGACAUCGCUCGGGGACAGGAGAGCCCCAGGCCCCCGCCGCCCCGAGCCGUGGCCGGGAAGGGGAACACAGUCCAUGCGUGCGGCGCCCGACGGCCUCUCCCCGCACGCCCGAGCCCCAGUGCAGGCGGCGGCCCGGCCCCUUUGUGCCUGGAGUGUCACGCGCGGGCGCUCCUGCCGCCGCGCCUGGGAGAGGCCUCCGGCACCCCGGGCCCCUUUCCAAGCACAACAGCAGCCCUGCCGCGGCCCCGCGCUGACCCACUUUCCCUCCUGCCUCCUCAGCCCGAGGCCGAGAAUCCAGCGGCCGCCGCCAAGCAGCCCUUCCUGCCAGACCUCUGCCUCCGAUGGGCGAGCCCCGUUGCUGGGAGGCGGUUCACUAUGGAGCCUGGACCCACCUCACAGUUCAGCCCGCCGGAGGCGUGUGCGCUUCCAGAUGAGAGCACUUGUUCACUGAAUGACCGCAGCCAUUGUUAAUGGGUGCGUGUGUACAGUUCUGGGCACAUACCAACAUGCACGGAUGCGUGUUAACCUGCUUUGUAUAGAAGAAACGGGGUCAGAAUAUCAUAAAAAGAAUUAAUGGGUAAUCAGUAUUCAUCAAAUGCCAAGAUCUUGGUCUGAGCACUUUGCAAAUAUUAAUUUAAUCACCACGAACCUCAGUAAAGUUUAUUACUAUUACUCGCAUUUUUCAGAUGAGGCGCCUAAGGCACAGAGAGGUUAAGUAGCCUGCCCAGGAUCACAUAGCUACUAAGUACAGAAGUCAGAAUUUGAGCCUGACUCCAGAGCUCAUAAGGUUAACAACGAGGCCUCCCACUUUUAUAUGCGUAUUAUUCCAUGAAUUACUGUUUACACUAAGAAUAUGUUCUUUUCUGCAACCAAUGGAAGAUUCCUAGAAGAGGAACUGCUGGCUAUGUGGCAUUGAGAUUUUUCUUUUUCUUUUUUUUUCUGAGAUGGAGUCUAGCUCUUUCGCCCAGGCUGGAGUGCAGUGGCACGAUCUCAGCUCACUGCAACCUCCGCCUCCUGGGUUCAAGCGGUUCUCCUGCCUCAGCCUCCCAAAUAUCUAGGAUUACAGGCCUGCCAUUAUGCCCAGCUAAUUUUUGUAUUUUAAGUAGAGAUAGGGUUUCACUGUGUUGGCCAGGCUGGUCUUGAACUCCUCACAUCGUGAUCCACCCGCCUCGACCUCCCAAAGUUCUGGGAUUACGAGCAUGAGCCACCGCGCCCGGCCGUGUGUUUGAGAUUCCUAGAGACAUUAGUAAAACCCUCCAAAAGAGUGGGGACCUUACACCAGCCUGCCCGUUCAAGCUCCAUACUGGACCUCCACCUCCCCAACCCCCACCCCCACCCCACCAGAAAAGGACCCUCCAUCCCCUUCAGGUCAUAGAGUGAGGAAGAGGGAAGCUUCAACAGGCCCAUUAUGGCCCUGGUAAUGGGCACGGUGACAUUUGGGCAGAGAACCCCAGGGCCCUGCAUCUGCAGACCUGGGACACGCAGAGAAUGUCCAAUGGGGGUGCUAGUGGCAUUGCCUGGCCAUGACUCUGUCCAGCUGUGGCAUCAUGUCCCAUGGCCAAAGUGUCUGAGCAAGCCUGCUUCUGCCAUUGACCUAGGGAGGCCUCUUGACACCUGCUCAUUGUCCAAGCCUGUUCCUCCUGCAUCCUCAAGAUUCGGAGUGCCCUCCAAAAUAAGAUCUUUUUCUGUAGUUGUUACUAUGGGUUGAGAACCCUCCUGUCUGAUACAUACAACUGAUUACAAACUUUUAAUUUUUGCCAAUCUGAUAAGCAAAAAAAAAAGAAAGUAGUUCAUGGAUUUAGUUUACAUUUCCUUUUUAAUAGGGAGGUUGGGUAGAGACUUCUUGGUUUGCUCAUGCCUGUAAUCCUAGCACUUUGGGAGGCUAAGGUAGGAAGAUCGCUUGAACUCAGGAAUUCAAGCCAACCUGGGCAACAUAGCAAGACCUCACCUCCACUAAAGGGAAAAAACAAUCCAUGUUCUUUUCUUCCAGCCCAACAGAUCUGUGGCUGGGCAGCAGCUGCUGAGCUCAGCUACAAUUCCAGCCUGCUUUACAGUUAGGCUUGUCCACAGGACCAAGUUCUCAGUGACAGAGUAAGAGCAGACCUGUGAUAGGAGCCUCUUCUGUACCUGGGCCUCCAAGCUGCCUAGAAUCUGGCUGUGGCAGUGCCCAAGGGGAGGCGAGCAGCAGGAGAGGAGGGUCCUGGGGUUUGGGGGGACCAGGAGGAGCAGAGCUGCUGCUCAGCUCAGACCCAGAACCUGAGAAAGAAAGAGCGAUGGCUCAUUUUAUGUGUUAACUUAAAUAUCUGGCCACAUCGCUCAGAUAUUUGAUUAGACACUAUUCUAGAUGUUUUUAUGAAGGUAUUGAUUAAUUGAUUGAUUGAUUGAGACAGUCUCACUCUGUUGCCCAGGCUGGAGUGCGGUGGCACAAUCUUGGCUUACUGCAACCUCCACCUCCCAGGUUCAAGUGAUUCUCGUGCCUCAGCCUCCCAAGUAGCUGGGAUUACAGGCAUGUGCCACCAUGCCUGGCUAAUUUUUGUAUUUUUAGUAGAGAUGGGGUUUCACCAUGUUGGCCAGGCUGGUCUCCUGACCUGAAGUGAUCUGCCCACCUUGGCCUCCCAAAGUGCUGGGAUUACAGGCCUGAGCUACCACAACCGGUGAAAGUACUUUUUAAGAUAAGAUUAGCAUUUAAAUCAGAAGAUUUUGAGUAAAGCAGAUUAUUCUCCACAAUGUGGGCAGAUCUCAUCCCAUCAGCUGAAGACCUUAAGAGAAAAGAGACUGACCUGCUGUGAGCAAGGAGGAAUUCUGCUGGCCAACUGCUUGUGAACUCCAACUUGUAAUAUCGGUCUCCAGCCUACCGGCUUACUCUGCAGAUUUUGGAUUUGCCAGGCCUCCACAACCGCAGAAGCCAAUUCCUUAAAAUAAAUCCCUUACAACAGUUCCCUAAAAUAAAUUCUUCAAAAUUCCUUAAAAUAAAUGUGUGUGCCUGUGUGUCUGUGUAUAUAUAUAGCCUAUGUAAUGUCUAAUAUAGAUCUAUAAUAUAUAUUAGAUAAAUAUACACAUACUUAUCAUAUAUAUAUAUGUGUGUGGGUGUUUCUCCUAUUGGUUGUGUUCUCUGGAGAACCUAAUACAGAAACAGAUCUGUUUAUUCUUCUAGCCUCUGUAUCAUCAGGCCUCUUUUUUAGAGCAGGUGAGCUUUACCCUAACUAAUUCAGAGGUUGAUUCGUUUUCAUGCAUGUAGAUACUUGUCAUUUAGCUUCUAUUAUCUGCCUGUAUUUUAAGGUUCUUUGUCUUAAAAUGUUAUGACUCCAGGAAUGUAAUAUAUUAAGUAUAUUAACCUUUUGACUAUUAUAUAUCUUGCAAACAUCUUGUAAUCAGUCACUUGUCUCUUUAUUUUAUUUGGAGCGGCUUUCAACCUAGAGCAGUGGUCCCCAAACCCGGGGCUGCAGACUAUUCCCUGUCUGUGGUUUGUUAAGAACCAGGCUACAUAGCAGAAGAUGAGUAGCAGGCGCGGGAGCAUGACCACCUGAGCUCCGCCUCCUGUCAGACCAGCAGCGACAUUAGAUUCUCAUAGGAGCACAAACCCUAUUGUGAACUGUGCGUAUGAGGGAUCUAGGUUGCACAUUCCUUAAAAGACUCUUAAUGCCUGAUGAUCUGAGGUGGAACAGGUUCACCCUGAAACCAUGCCCCGCUCAGCCCGGGUCUGUGGAAAAAUUGUCUUCCAUGAAACUGGUCCCUGGUGCCAAAAAGGCUGACCUGGUGCCAAAAAGGGACUGCUGACCUAGAAGAUAUAUUAGUUAUGACUCUUGGUGCAUACUCGUGACAGAAAUCCCACUCAACCUAGUAUAAUGCAGAGGACAGUUCACUGAGCAACUCAAAUAAUUGCCACUUUUACAAUAUUGAAGCUUCCUACGGGAAACAUAAUACAUCUCUCAAUUUAUGUCCUUUAAUACGAUUAAACAUUUUUCUUCAUGUAGGUUCUCCAGAAUUUUGGUUAUGCCUAUGCCUAGAUUAUUUAUGAUUGUUGUUGGUAUUGCAAAUGUCCUCUCCUAUUGAUUAUUUAAUGGUAUCUAUGGAAAGUAUUGAUUUUUGUGUAUUUGCUCUGUGCCCACUUACCAUCUAACUGGUUGUUAUAUUUUAUUGAACCUUUCAAAGGAUAUGAAUUAUGCUGAUUUUAAUGUCUUCCUCUGAUUCCUGCAUUAUUAUCCUGUUUUCUCCAGGGUUCUGUCUACUUCUUCUGCAGGCUGUUGGUUUCCUUCAAAUGUCUGGGGAUUCUUGAUUGUCUGAUCCCAUUUGUAAAUGAACGUCCAGAGAGUGGUUUUCAAAGUGAGAUCCAUGGACCCCUAAGGGUUCUUAAGACUCUUUCUGGGUGUCUGCAAAGCCAAAACUAUUUAAUAGGAAUAAAAAAGACUUGUUUUUCCUAAUGGGUGUUCAGGUGCUCACUUCAGCAGCACAUAUACAAAUGGGUGUUCAGUGGAGUUUUCCAGAGUCUACAUGAUGUGUGUUAUCACUACAGCUUGAAAGAAGGAGGUAUGAAAAUCCAGCUGUUGGCUGGGCAUGGCGGCUCCUGCCUGUAAUCCCAACACUUUGGGAGGCUGAGGCAGACAGACCACUUGAGGUCAGGAGUUUGAGACCAGCCUGGCCAACAUGGUGAAACCCCAUCUCUACUAAAAAUACAAAAAAAAAAAAAAAGCUAGGCGUGGUGGUGCAUUCCUGUAAUCCCAGCUACUUGGGAGGCUGAGGCAGGAGGAUUGCUUGAACUGGGAGGCAGAGGUUGCAGUGAGCCAAGAUUGUGCCACUGCAUUGCAGCCUGGGUGUCAGAGUGAGACUCUGUCUCAAUAAAUAAAUUUAAA